UAGAGGCAGUGUGCGGAUACAUGCAGUCGAGCGAAUUGACAGAAGUGCUUGCACCUCCCUGAUUUUAGCGGCGGACGGGUGAGUAACACGUGGGUAACCUACCUAUAAGACUGGGAUAACUUCGGGAAACCGGAGCUAAUACCGGAUAAUAUUUAGCUUCGCAUGAAGCAAUAGUGAAAGACGGUUCUGCUGUCACUUAUAGAUGGACCUGCGGUGUAUUAGCUAGUUGGUGAGGUAACGGCUCACCAAGGCAACGAUACAUAGCCGACCUGAGAGGGUGAUCGGCCACACUGGGACUGAGACACGGCCCAGACUCCUACGGGAGGCAGCAGUAGGGAAUCUUCCGCAAUGGACGAAAGUCUGACGGAGCAACGCCGCGUGAGUGAAGAAGUUUUCGGAUCGUAAAACUCUGUUGUAAGGGAAGAACAAGUACGUUAGUAACUGAACGUACCUUGACGGUACCUUACCAGAAAGCCACGGCUAACUACGUGCCAGCAGCCGCGGUAAUACGUAGGUGGCAAGCGUUAUCCGGAAUUAUUGGGCGUAAAGCGCGCGUAGGCGGUCUCUUAAGUCUGAUGUGAAAGCCCCCGGCUCAACCGGGGAGGUCAUUGGAAACUGGGAGACUUGAGUACAGAAGAGGAGAGUGGAUUCCAUGUGUAGCGGUGAAUGCGCAGAGAUAUGGAGGAACACCAGUGCGAAGCGGCUCUCUGGUCUGUAACUGACGCUGAGUGCGAAAGCGUGGGGAUCAACAGAUUAGAUACCCUGUAGUCCACGCGUAACGAUGAGUGCUAAGUGUUGGGGUUUCCGCCCUCAGUGCUGCAGCUAACGCAUUAAGCACUCCGCUAGGGAGUACGGUCGCAGACUGAAACUCAAAGAAUUUGACGG
This 885-nucleotide ribosomal RNA is filed under the name Macrococcus sp. RNAcentral's name for it is "bacterial SSU rRNA". It matches the Rfam family "Bacterial small subunit ribosomal RNA", at positions 37 to 916 of the family's 1533-position model. The record is from RNAcentral. Lineage: Bacteria; Bacillati; Bacillota; Bacilli; Caryophanales; Staphylococcaceae.